This 653-nucleotide ribosomal RNA is filed under the name Salmonella enterica subsp. enterica serovar Oranienburg. RNAcentral's name for it is "bacterial SSU rRNA". It matches the Rfam family "Bacterial small subunit ribosomal RNA", at positions 1 to 648 of the family's 1533-position model. The record is from RNAcentral. RNAcentral also lists the same sequence under 2 other names. Lineage: Bacteria; Pseudomonadati; Pseudomonadota; Gammaproteobacteria; Enterobacterales; Enterobacteriaceae.
GAAGAGUUUGAUCAUGGCUCAGAUUGAACGCUGGCGGCAGGCCUAACACAUGCAAGUCGAACGGUAACAGGAAGCAGCUUGCUGCUUUGCUGACGAGUGGCGGACGGGUGAGUAAUGUCUGGGAAACUGCCUGAUGGAGGGGGAUAACUACUGGAAACGGUGGCUAAUACCGCAUAACGUCGCAAGACCAAAGAGGGGGACCUUCGGGCCUCUUGCCAUCAGAUGUGCCCAGAUGGGAUUAGCUUGUUGGUGAGGUAACGGCUCACCAAGGCGACGAUCCCUAGCUGGUCUGAGAGGAUGACCAGCCACACUGGAACUGAGACACGGUCCAGACUCCUACGGGAGGCAGCAGUGGGGAAUAUUGCACAAUGGGCGCAAGCCUGAUGCAGCCAUGCCGCGUGUAUGAAGAAGGCCUUCGGGUUGUAAAGUACUUUCAGCGGGGAGGAAGGUGUUGUGGUUAAUAACCGCAGCAAUUGACGUUACCCGCAGAAGAAGCACCGGCUAACUCCGUGCCAGCAGCCGCGGUAAUACGGAGGGUGCAAGCGUUAAUCGGAAUUACUGGGCGUAAAGCGCACGCAGGCGGUCUGUCAAGUCGGAUGUGAAAUCCCCGGGCUCAACCUGGGAACUGCAUUCGAAACUGGCAGGCUUGAGUC